GCCGGGAGCGCCUGCCCCGGCAUCGGCGGCACGCUGUACCGCGCGCACGGGGCCAGCUGGCUCAGCUGCGCCCCGCAGGUGCCGCGCGGCGGCUGCGCCUUGGCCGCGCCGCCCAGGGUCACCAGCAGCAGGACCAGGAGGGCCGCCUGGCCCGUGGUCGCCGCCAUCGUCGUCGUCGCCGGCGGCUCGGUGCGCGCGCUGCGAGCUUGAGAGACGGAAAUGAGUUCCUGUGUGUGUGGUUGGCGGUGUGGUGGUGGUGCGGGAGCGCGUGGUUUUAUAGGUGGGGCGACGGAGGUGGGAGGCGGCGAGUCUUGCGUUGCUCACCUACGCUACGCAGGCAGCGGGCGGUGCUCGGAUCGGCGCCGGGCGGGAGGAGCGGGCCACGGCAAGCGUGUGAGGCACUGAGGCUGACCCGACCCAACUAAUAAGCCCAGCUCGGAGACCCGCUUCGUCCGUUUGAUCAUCGGGACAAAAAAACUUGGUUCAACGUAGAGACAUGUUUGGACCGGUGUCCUUUCACUAUCCGCGCCGAUCCAAUCUUUGACGAAUACCAGCAAACAUGUCUGUGUGUUACAGCAGGAGAAAAAAAAAUCAUCCCUAAUAGGCACUGGCCGAUACCAGUAAAUCCCUUGAAAUCUCCACACAACAAACAAUAUGAUAAGUGACGUUGCGUUAAACGUAAUGGUGGAUGAUUUUUGAAGUGUAUUCAAGGUGCUUUAAAAAAAAGUUAUGGACAUAAUUAAAUUUUUUGGAAAUUAACAUUAAGCCACUUGUUUACAUAAAGCUCAAAUCAUCAAUUUAGUGUACAACAUCGUAUAUUGGUUGGUUAUAUUGUGCAUGAUGUGAAAUAGGAUGACCGUGUACCUAUUGUAACCUUUAGCAUACAAAGUAGCUAGUAGAAAUCAACAUCCGCUAUGGUGCCAAUACUAUCUUUUACGAGAGUAUUAAACUAUCGUAUCUAUUCAAGUUAAAUGGAAUAAAAAAAAUAUGUAAUAGGCAUUUUCAAAAUACCCAAUAUAGAGAAGGUAUUAAUCAAGGUUGCAACAUAUAUUUUAUUUUAAAAAUGAGUAACAUGUAAGAUAAGAGUAUAUUUGAAAUCUACAUAUUCUUUUGAACAAUUAUCAUAUAUAACAUGUUAGAUUUGGAAUUAGGGUUUGAAAGAUAUGAAUAUCCUAAAAAGCAUUUGAAUUAGAAAAAAUAGCAUUUGAAUUAGAAAAAAUGAAAAAGGGGUAGCUGUUUUGAUGUGUUUAAUUUGGGACCGCACUGUAUAUAAACCGAAGUAAACGCCCCAUGUAGCAAAUUGAACUGUUUUUUUGUUUAUGAACGAUAUGAUGGGUAAUUUGUGUUAACUUUGGGAUAGUUCUAAUGACGAACUUGGCAGAAACAAUAACCUUUUUAUUAGUACGCAUAGAUGGGCUAGAAUGGGUUUCAAACAAACAGAAACGGACACUCCCGUCGUUUGCUGGUGCUCGCUUGUGUCCACCCUGGUCCCAAAGACCAGCGACCGCACCAGCCGGGGCUUUGCCUCCAUAAUGACGUGCACCGGCGCAUGCCACCUCUCUUUUUGAGUCAGUCGUUGUGUUAGGAUCUUGCCGGCGGGCCCGCGGCGCCGAUGAUUGGCCGAUCGUGGCCGCCAGACGCCACGUCGGGGUCCGACCACACAAGGGGGAGGAGCGGGGCACGACGAUUACCUCGCCAUGGAGGAAGGGGCGGGGCACAUAUAAAGGAUGGACGCGUUGAUGCGGAGGGAGAGGGUCAUGAACUUCGAAAACAUUUUUCUGUGCAAAUAAAUAUUGAAAAGGUACACAAUUUAUGAAAUGCAUGAAUAUUUUAUAAAGUGUGAGCACUUUUAGAAAAUUCUGAAUACUUUGAAAACCAAUCAAUUUUGAUAAAACGAUAACACUUUCUGAAACAUAUAUUUUAAAUCUAGAACAACAAAUUUAAAGUGCGAACAUUCUUUGAAAAUUAAAAAAAUGGUAACAAAAUUUGAAACCUGAGCAAACGUGUAAAGAAAUGUUUUUGACAUCUAAAAAAUAUCACAAGUUUAGAGAAAUGUACAUGGCAUUUCAAAAAAAUGUAUGUAUAAUGUAAAUAAUAUCCGUGUAAUUCUAACAAAUGUUUCUUCCAUUCAAAAAGAUGCAACAUUUCAAGAAUGUUCAAGAGUUUCAAAACAUGUGCUUGUAACAUUUUUAGAAAGAAGUGUAUACAAUGUAAAAAAGUUAGCGUGACGUAAAUAAUGUGUCAUACCCUUAGAAAAUUAUACCCGACAUGUGUUUGAAAUUUUAUAAAUGUGUAACAAUGUAAAAAAAUGUUUGUAUAGUUUUACAAGAUGUCUGUAUAGUUUUAUAAAUGUCUAUCGUCGUUAAGAAAUAAAAAAAUAUAUUUGAAAAAUAUUACUGUGUAUUCAUUUCUUUAAACAUGUAUCUAAAAAGAUAUAAAUAAAGUAUCAAAAAAUAUUUGUGCUAAAAAUUUGCAAUGUGUACUGACAAUAAUUAGACAUGUGUAAAAUAUAUAAUUGGUUACCGUACAGAAACAAAACAAAAGCGAAAAAAAAGAAAACACUAUGAAGAAAAUCAAGAAAGAAACAAAAGAAAUCAAAAGUAUAACGAGAAAGUAAAACCAGAUAAUGCCAGUGAAAAAAUAAAGCAUAACGAACAAAAAAUCAAAGAAAAAAAAGAAAACAAGACCAGCACGAGAGACUGUGCCAAUGGGCUGGCGCAGUUCAGCGAAUACCGGCUAAAUUCUAUCAACGUUUAAAAUAGACCGGGAUCAAGGAUUUUGGUUUGCUGAUUCCAGGAAUUAAGAGUUCAGAGUUUGAUUUAGCUUCGGCCUAUAUAUAUGAAAGGUUUGUUUUGGAUUUUUUUCCUUUUUCUUUUUGCUAUACUCGAGCGGUCUGGUGUUGUGGUGCACGUUGGCUUCUCCUGCCCAGGAAUCACCUCGCCAACAAGAUCCAAAAUGUCCUAAUAAAGAAAAUAAAAUAAAAAGAACAUGUUUCUGUCAAAAUAGGUAGCACUGUUGGGUAAAAAGACGCACGCCUUCGUUGCUCUCGUGAGGCAGGCGAUUGGGGUUUUCGUUGCCUCCCGUCGCAUAGCCGUCGAGCUGCCUUGUCUUCUGUGGCCUUAGGAUCAUGUAGACGCGAUCGAUCUCGGUCCUUGCUGGGGGGGGGGAGGUGUUUCAUUUUUAGAGUUUGUUUGAGUUUUGAUAGGGUUUGUGUCUUGCUCAGAAAGAUGAGGCGGUGCGUGUUUCUUGGAGAUGGAAUAAGUUUUUCCUCAUAUAGCCCCAGAUGAAAUAAGUUUUUCCUCAUAUAGCCCCCACCCGUUCUGAUGAUGCUUCUAGCAUCGCCGGAGGGUGUAUGAAGAUUUAUCUCGGACGGAUCUCAGGAGAUUCAGUCGACGUUUGACUUUGAUGGAUCCGAUCGGAUCCAUUUUUCGUUCGUCUAAGUUGAUGUGUCGGCAGGUUGGAUUUUUGGUGCUUAGUGUUGUUUUCAUACGGGGCGCUCACUAGCAAAGCCAUUGGGCCAGCCCAUGUAAAGCGAACAGUGAUUGAGCUGCCCAAUC
RNAcentral lists this long non-coding RNA (3557 nucleotides) under Hordeum vulgare. Its description in RNAcentral is "long non-coding RNA (HVUL_LNC013584)". Lineage: Eukaryota; Viridiplantae; Streptophyta; Magnoliopsida; Poales; Poaceae. The record is from RNAcentral.